AUUAAGAUAAGAAGAGAUAAACACAACCGAAAAAAAAUAGAGAGGGGGAGGCUGGUAGAAAGGAAAGGAAAAAAUAGAGUAAAAUUGGGGACACUUAAGAUAAGAUUUACAGAAAAUUUAAUAAAGUAACACUGAUUAUAAGAUAUACGAUUAGCACAUAGGGUUUUGUGAAUCAAACUAAGGGAAGAACAAGGAAGAAAGAGAAAAGAAAGGAAAAGAAAAGAUAAAAAGAGAAUUCAUUUUGUGUGUGUGAUUAUUAAGUGGCAUCACCUCAUUCCGGACACACCUACUUAGUGUCUAAAAUUAAAGACACAGUAAAGACUGAUUCUCAAGUGGAGAAUUUACAGUCUUUUGUGCUACAAGUUUUUAAAUAUAUGUUUUUUUUUGGUAUAUGUAUGUUUUUGCAACAAUGAGGGAAGAUAUUAGAGAUUAUGAGGUAGAGAAGGAUGCAAAAAGUUCCUGCUUAUCUCACAUGCUUCUGAUAAAGACAAAAAAAAAUGUGGAGUAGCUAUAGUAUUUGGAGAAAAAAUUAAGGUAGAAAUUAUUCAUCAAGUACAGGAUGUUAAAGGUAGAUUUAUGGUCAUAAUAUGUAAAAUUAACUCCAUUUUAUUAACACUCUGUAAUGUGUGUCUUCCAAAUUAUUCACCAGUCUCUUACCUAAGAACGGUAUUAGAAAAAAUAGAAGAAAUUAAAGUGGGAAAUUUAAUACUGGCUGGAGACUUUAAUGCAGUUUUAGAUCCACAAAUAGACAAAAAAUUAAUGAAAGGAAAUAAAUUAAAUCAAAUAGUGGUGAAACAAGCUAAAGCUUUAAAGAAAAUCAAAGACAAAUUCAAUUUGUUACAUAUUUGGAUAAUUCAUAACCCCAGCAAAAUGGACUAUACGCAUUUCUCUAAAGUCCAUUACUCUUACUCAAGAUUGGACAUGAUCUGGACAGAUCCAAGUCUUAUUGAUAUGAUUAAAAAAAUAGAUAUUAAUGAAAUAGUGUGGACGGAUCAUAAUGGAGUCUCGUGUGAAAUAGGUGUCUGUAAACUUGAGAGGGAAGCAUAAAACUGGCGUUUAAAUGAUACUUUGCUUGGUUCCGAAUUAAAUAAAACCUAUAUAAAAAAAUAAUAUAAAAAAUUAUUUUCAAGAAAAUAAUAUAGAAAUUAUUGACCCAGCCUUUAAGGCUGUAAUAAGAGGUCAUUUUAUCAAGCUCCAAAGCCAGGUCAAUAAAAAGAC
Molecule: non-coding RNA, 1218 nt
Organism: Pelobates cultripes (western spadefoot toad)
Lineage: Eukaryota; Metazoa; Chordata; Amphibia; Anura; Pelobatidae
Source: the annotation of a GenBank genome assembly